UAUCAACUUGGAAGGAAAAAAGAAAUUAAAAUAAAUCUAAUUAACUCUGCAAAAACUUAAAUUUGAGCGCAAAACCAAAACCCAAAACCAAAUUCAAAUAGAAACUCUAAUCAGGCAAACUCAACUGAUCGUAUAAUCGUAUAUCUAGGGUUUACACAAAACAAACACCAAAAUCCAUCUCCCAUUCCCGCAAAACCAAAACCCAAAACCGCGAACCACAACCGAUCUCCGUCGCCGCACCGCCGUACUGCAAUACCGCCGCCGCUCCUUUUCAACGUCCGGUGAACGCUGAUCGAUUCUCUAGCACUCUGAAUUUCAAGGAAGACGGAAUUUUUUCUGGCAGUGGUGAAAUUGGCAGUGUCAAAUUCCGGCGCGGGUGGUGGUGAGGUCCUUUGGUCCCGGUGUUGUGUUCUUCUUUACUCCCAAUUUUUUUUACGAGAGAAAGUCAGAAUUGUCAGGGUCUCAGCCUCACAAGAGACCUUAGUGACAAUCACAUUGGGGAUACAAGUCUUGCCAGUUUACCUCCCACGGUGAAGACCUUGUUCGGCUACUUUUUUUGUUGUUAUUAUUAUUCUUAGUAUAAUAUUGCGAGCAAUGUUACUAUUUAUAAUUAUGGCAUCGUUUAUAUACUAUCGAUGGUUCAUUUCAGAUAAUCAGUUUACUGGUUGCAUUUCUGACUUGUCUGUAUUUAGUCAAUUGGUGUUUUGUGAUUUUACAACUCUGUGAACUUAGCAUCAAUUGGUUGAAUGUGGGAUUUAGCUAUUUGACGGUGUUCCUGCGUGUUUUGUAGUAAUAUGGAGUUCCGAUUAUGGUAUAAAGGUAAAUUGAGUUAUCUUAGAGCAAGGAACAACAUGAACUUGAAUUUAUAAUGCAUAUGUUUUAGGCUUACAGGAAAAUCUGUUUUGACCAUAAGUACUGUCUGUUUUAUAUCAAUGUCAGAGCUUUGGAAGUGAUUUCUGGUAUGACAGGAGCCGGUGGAAACGUGGGUACGGUCUAAGCUCAGCUGAUAUUCUUCGAAGGAUCUCAAUACACAAAAGAGAGGGGAAUAACUUAUAUGGGUAUAAUGAUUGUAGCAUGUACUCUACCCAUAGUUGCCAUAUACUCCCCACAAUGGGGAGGUAUGUUUUUGUUGUCCUAGAUUAGGUUGUUGUUCUAAGGCCUUUAAAACUUAAUUAUAUGAAAACGAGCAUUUUCUCUAAGUUAUGUACUGCAGUCUGAUAGGGAUUCUUUCAAAUGUUCAUCGGUUGAGAUAUACUUGGAGUUAGUUCAAUAGUCAACCCACCUUAGUGCCCACAAGGAACAAAAGAUAGUCUGGGAACUUGAAUUCUUUCAAAUGUUCAUCGGUUGAGACAUCUAUUCCAGGGUUGGAACAAGUAGUUGUAUAGUACCUAUUAGCUUUUACACGUAUGGUCUUAUGUCCUAGACGUAAUAAUUUUAAGAGUAAAUAAUAGUUCUAUAUAGAGUUGGCCGUUGACAUUAGCUGUAUUGAUUCUUUUAUUUUUAAUUAGAGUUGCGGAGAGUAGUUUUUCUGAGACUUACCUCAGGCAAUUAGGCUGUCAGUACUCAAUGAGUUACAGCAAUCAAGCCCCUUCCUAUUGGCCAAGUCCUCGUGGAGAAAUGUGCUUGUAACUCUUGGAAGAGGCUGUCAGUUGCUCAUUAUAGCUAACUCUUUUCACCUCAACUCAGCUAUGCUUAGCCUGAAUGGUUUUCUGAAACUUUUUAUAUUGCUAGAACAUCUUUGAGAGUCUAUACUAACUUCCAAACUCAAAAAUUUACAAGGUCAACUGAUACACAAUUUAGCUUUCUUCUUCAAUAUAGCUUCGACUAAAGCAAAAUUCUGUC
This is an RNA transcript of Spinacia oleracea (spinach), 1842 nucleotides long. RefSeq lists it as uncharacterized. The record is from RefSeq and is a predicted model, not a curated record. Lineage: Eukaryota; Viridiplantae; Streptophyta; Magnoliopsida; Caryophyllales; Amaranthaceae. The transcript is spliced from 3 exons.